GUGCGCAAGCUCAAUAGAGAAGUUGGUGUAAAUCCGACACGGUCCCGCCGCUGUAACGUGGAGUUUGUUUCAAUUAUGCCACUGGAUUGACUCUGGGAAGGUGAAACAAAUGAAGAAGCGAAGUCAGAAGAACUGCCUGUAAGA
Molecule: non-coding RNA, 144 nt
Filed under: uncultured Phascolarctobacterium sp.
Lineage: Bacteria; Bacillati; Bacillota; Negativicutes; Acidaminococcales; Acidaminococcaceae
Source: RNAcentral